GUAGAAGAAGCAGCUUAAGCAUAUAUAUGUUAAAAUUAAAAAGCUGAUUUUUAAGUUUGUAGGUGGACUGAUUUUUCUCAUCAAACUGAAAAAAUGAAGUCAGUUUACUGAACCAGGAAAGGAUAAUUUGCAUAGUUCUGGAGAGCUCCCUACUUCUGCAACUUAGGAACACUCAAGGCAUUUUGGAAAAGGAGAAAGGAAUCACCCCGGGCAGCCAUUAAAAGGACACUUUUCCUGCAGUGUGUGGUUAUCCAGACUCAUGAGCUGCAGAGUGCCCAUUGCCCAGUCUCAGUUUUGAUCUUGGCUCAUAGAAGGACCUCCUUCCUUCUGAUACCUGCAGAGAAAAAAUGA
RNAcentral lists this long non-coding RNA (351 nucleotides) under Fukomys damarensis (Damara mole-rat). RNAcentral's name for it is "lncRNA (ENSFDAG00000022485.1)". Lineage: Eukaryota; Metazoa; Chordata; Mammalia; Rodentia; Bathyergidae. The record is from RNAcentral.